RNAcentral lists this ribosomal RNA (708 nucleotides) under Bacteroidales bacterium. Its description in RNAcentral is "partial 23S ribosomal RNA". It matches the Rfam family "Bacterial large subunit ribosomal RNA", at positions 1 to 751 of the family's 2925-position model. Lineage: Bacteria; Pseudomonadati; Bacteroidota; Bacteroidia; Bacteroidales. The record is from RNAcentral.
GUUAUAGGGUCAAGUGACUAAGAGCAUGUGGUGGAUGCCUUGGCGAUGAUAGGCGACGAAGGACGUGAUAGCCUGCGAUAAGCUUCGGGGAGCUGGCAAAUUAGCUUUGAUCCGGAGAUUUCCGAAUGGGGAAACCCACCGUAAGGUAUCCUGUGGUGAAUUCAUAGCCACAGGAGGCGAACCGGGCGAACUGAAACAUCUCAGUAGCCCGAGGAAAAGACAUCAACCGAGAUUCCGAAAGUAGUGGCGAGCGAAAUCGGAGCAGCCUUCUAGUGAUAGCGCGACCGUUAGCAGAACAAGCUGGAAAGCUUGACCAUAGUGGGUGACAGUCCCGUAUGCGAAAACCGUCGCGUGGUACCAGGCUAGAGACAAGUAGGGCGGGACACGUGUAAUCCUGUCUGAACAUGGGGGGACCAUCCUCCAAGGCUAAAUACUCAUCAUCGACCGAUAGUGAACCAGUACCGUGAGGGAAAGGCGAAAAGAACCCCGGGAGGGGAGUGAAAUAGAUCCUGAAACCGCAUGCUUACAAAAAGUAGGAGCCUCGCAAGGGGUGACUGCGUACCUUUUGUAUAAUGGGUCAGCGACUUACAUUCAGUGGCAAGGUUAACCGAAUAGGGAAGCCGUAGAGAAAUCGAGUCCGAAUAGGGCGAACAUAGUCGCUGGGUGUAGACCCGAAACCAAGUGAUCUAUCCAUGGCCAGGAUGAAGG